This 465-nucleotide ribosomal RNA is filed under the name Vreelandella stevensii. RNAcentral describes it as "partial 16S ribosomal RNA". It matches the Rfam family "Bacterial small subunit ribosomal RNA", at positions 338 to 795 of the family's 1533-position model. The record is from RNAcentral. Lineage: Bacteria; Pseudomonadati; Pseudomonadota; Gammaproteobacteria; Oceanospirillales; Halomonadaceae.
CCUACGGGGGGCUGCAGUGGGGAAUAUUGGACAAUGGGGGGAACCCUGAUCCAGCCAUGCCGCGUGUGUGAAGAAGGCCCUCGGGUUGUAAAGCACUUUCAGUGAGGAAGAACGCCUGGUGGUUAAUACCCAUCAGGAAAGACAUCACUCACAGAAGAAGCACCGGCUAACUCCGUGCCAGCAGCCGCGGUAAUACGGAGGGUGCGAGCGUUAAUCGGAAUUACUGGGCGUAAAGCGCGCGUAGGUGGCUUGAUAAGCCGGUUGAGAAAGCCCCGGGCUCAACCUGGGAACGGCAUCCGGAACUGUCAAGCUAGAGUGCAGGAGAGGAAGGUAGAAUUCCCGGUGUAGCGGUGAAAUGCGUAGAGAUCGGGAGGAAUACCAGUGGCGAAGGCGGCCUUCUGGACUGACACUGACACUGAGGUGCGAAAGCGUGGGUAGCAAACAGGAUUAGAUACCCCUGUAGUC